GGUCCGUUAGCUCAACUGGAUAGAGCAGCUGACUUCUAAUCAGCAGGUUGAGGGUUCGAGUCCUUCACGGAUCGCCA
This 77-nucleotide transfer RNA is filed under the name Citreicella sp. C3M06. RNAcentral's name for it is "tRNA-Arg". It matches the Rfam family "tRNA". Rfam says of the family: Transfer RNA (tRNA) molecules are approximately 80 nucleotides in length. Their secondary structure includes four short double-helical elements and three loops (D, anti-codon, and T loops). Further hydrogen bonds mediate the characteristic L-shaped molecular structure. tRNAs have two regions of fundamental functional importance: the anti-codon, which is responsible for specific mRNA codon recognition, and the 3' end, to which the tRNAs corresponding amino acid is attached (by aminoacyl-tRNA synthetases). tRNAs cope with the degeneracy of the genetic code in two manners: having more than one tRNA (with a specific anti-codon) for a particular amino acid; and 'wobble' base-pairing, i.e. permitting non-standard base-pairing at the 3rd anti-codon position. RNAcentral also lists the same sequence under 1 other name. The record is from RNAcentral. Lineage: Bacteria; Pseudomonadati; Pseudomonadota; Alphaproteobacteria; Rhodobacterales; Roseobacteraceae.